This 497-nucleotide ribosomal RNA is filed under the name uncultured Actinomycetes bacterium. RNAcentral's name for it is "bacterial SSU rRNA". It matches the Rfam family "Bacterial small subunit ribosomal RNA", at positions 8 to 522 of the family's 1533-position model. The record is from RNAcentral. Lineage: Bacteria; Bacillati; Actinomycetota; Actinomycetes.
AGAGUUUGAUCCUGGCUCAGGACGAACGCUGGCGGCGUGCUUAACACAUGCAAGUCGAGCGGUAAGGCCCUUCGGGGUACACGAGCGGCGAACGGGUGAGUAACACGUGGGUGAUCUGCCCUGCACUUCGGGAUAAGCCUGGGAAACUGGGUCUAAUACCGGAUACGACCUCGGGCUGCAUGGCCUGGGGUGGAAAGGUUUACUGGUGCAGGAUGGGCCCGCGGCCUAUCAGCUUGUUGGUGGGGUAAUGGCCUACCAAGGCGACGACGGGUAGCCGACCUGAGAGGGUGACCGGCCACACUGGGACUGAGACACGGCCCAGACUCCUACGGGAGGCAGCAGUGGGGAAUAUUGCACAAUGGGCGAAAGCCUGAUGCAGCGACGCCGCGUGAGGGAUGACGGCCUUCGGGUUGUAAACCUCUUUCAGCAGGGACGAAGCGCAAGUGACGGUACCUGCAGAAGAAGCACCGGCCAACUACGUGCCAGCAGCCGCGGUA